CCUACGGGAGGCAGCAGUGAGGAAUAUUGGUCAAUGGACGAGAGUCUGAACCAGCCAAGUAGCGUGAAGGAUGACUGCCCUAUGGGUUGUAAACUUCUUUUAUAUGGGAAUAAAACGUUCCACGUGUGGGAUUUUGUAUGUACCAUAUGAAUAAGGAUCGGCUAACUCCGUGCCAGCAGCCGCGGUAAUACGGAGGAUCCGAGCGUUAUCCGGAUUUAUUGGGUUUAAAGGGAGCGUAGGUGGGUUGUUAAGUCAGUUGUGAAAGUUUGCGGCGCAACCGUAAAAUUGCAGUUGAAACUGGCAGUCUUGAGUACAGUAGAGGUGGGCGGAAUUCGUGGUGUAGCGGUGAAAUGCUUAGAUAUCACGAAGAACUCCGAUUGCGAAGGCAGUUCACUGGACUGCAACUGACACUGAGGCUCGAAAGUGUGGGUAUCAAACAGGAUUAGAUACCCGAGUAGUC
RNAcentral lists this ribosomal RNA (460 nucleotides) under uncultured bacterium. RNAcentral describes it as "partial 16S ribosomal RNA". It matches the Rfam family "Bacterial small subunit ribosomal RNA", at positions 338 to 795 of the family's 1533-position model. The record is from RNAcentral.